Molecule: ribosomal RNA, 484 nt
Filed under: uncultured bacterium
Lineage: Bacteria
Description: partial 16S ribosomal RNA
Rfam family: Bacterial small subunit ribosomal RNA
Source: RNAcentral
AUUGAACGCUGGCGGCAGGCCUAACACAUGCGAGUCGAGCGGAUGAAGGGAGCUUGCUCCUGGAUUCAGCGGCGGACGGGUGAGUAAUGCCUAGGAAUCUGCCUGGUAGUGGGGGAUAACGUCCGGAAACGGGCGCUAAUACCGCAUACGUCCUGAGGGAGAAAGUGGGGGAUCUUCGGACCUCACGCUAUCAGAUGAGCCUAGGUCGGAUUAGCUAGUUGGUGGGGUAAAGGCCUACCAAGGCGACGAUCCGUAACUGGUCUGAGAGGAUGAUCAGUCACACUGGAAGUGAGACACGGUCCAGACUCCUACGGGAGGCAGCAGUGGGGAAUAUUGGACAAUGGGCGAAAGCCUGAUCCAGCCAUGCCGCGUGUGUGAAGAAGGUCUUCGGAUUGUAAAGCACUUUAAGUUGGGAGGAAGGACAGUAAGUUAAUACCUUGCUGUUUUGACGUUACCAACAGAAUAAGCACCGGCUAACUUCGUG